This 152-nucleotide ribosomal RNA is filed under the name Diaporthe columnaris. Its description in RNAcentral is "5.8S ribosomal RNA". It matches the Rfam family "5.8S ribosomal RNA". Rfam says of the family: 5.8S ribosomal RNA (5.8S rRNA) is a component of the large subunit of the eukaryotic ribosome. It is transcribed by RNA polymerase I as part of the 45S precursor that also contains 18S and 28S rRNA. Functionally, it is thought that 5.8S rRNA may be involved in ribosome translocation. Lineage: Eukaryota; Fungi; Ascomycota; Sordariomycetes; Diaporthales; Diaporthaceae. The record is from RNAcentral.
UUCAACAACGGAUCUCUUGGUUCUGGCAUCGAUGAAGAACGCAGCGAAAUGCGAUAAGUAAUGUGAAUUGCAGAAUUCAGUGAAUCAUCGAAUCUUUGAACGCACAUUGCGCCCUCUGGUAUUCCGGAGGGCAUGCCUGUUCGAGCGUCAUU